CCUCGUAAUCUCCUGCUUCUCCAUACAUCUUCCCGAGAACUGAAUAAGCCACUGCGUCUGGAAUCCACCCAUUGGAUCUCGCUCGUUCGUAGAGACUCAAAACCUCCUCCACCUUACCUAAUUUGGCAUACACGUCGAGGAUGGCGGAGUAAGUCACUUCGUCUGGCAUUAAUCCCGUCUUGUACAUCCUCUCAAACCAAUGAAUGGCUCUGUCGAAUUUACUGCACCGUUUCGCGCAGGUGAUAAUCGUGGAAUAAGUCACAUUAUCGAGCUCAAUUCCAGAAUCGAUCAUGUCGGUGGCGAGAAUUUCCACAGCGUCAAAUUGUUUCCCGUACCGGAGAUUCUUUAUUGCAACAUUGUAGAAAAUGGUAUCCAG
Molecule: long non-coding RNA, 376 nt
Filed under: Zostera marina
Lineage: Eukaryota; Viridiplantae; Streptophyta; Magnoliopsida; Alismatales; Zosteraceae
Description: long non-coding RNA (ZMAR_LNC005776)
Source: RNAcentral